UUCUAUUAGUCUUAAUUAAUCGUAUCCUCUCCUCCAUGAUUAUUAAAUAGCCCCCAAUAUUUUGUGCUAAGGUAGCAUUCUCAUUUACAAACCAAAUGGAGACUUGUAUAAAAGAUUGAACAAUUUAAUUUAUUUCUUUUACUUAAUAUUUUAAAUUUUUCUAAAUGUAAAAAAACAUUUAUUUAAAAGAAAGACGAUAAGACCCUAUUGAAUUUAACUUUAGUUAAACUGGGGUAGUAAAUUAAUUAAAAUUUUAAUUUUAAUAUUUACAUAAAAUAUCUAAUACAAUUAAAAUAAAUCAAAUUACCAUAGGGAUAACAGCGUAAUAUUUUUUAUAAGCUCUUAUAAAAAUUAAUGUUUACGACCUCGAUGUUGAAUAAUAGUCUAAUUUACGCAAGAGUAAAGAAAGAAGGGGGGGGCGACCUUAAAAGAAUGACA
This 438-nucleotide ribosomal RNA is filed under the name Pronophaea natalica. RNAcentral's name for it is "partial 16S ribosomal RNA". Lineage: Eukaryota; Metazoa; Arthropoda; Arachnida; Araneae; Corinnidae. The record is from RNAcentral.